AUACGAAGGGCCCGAGCGUUAAUCGGAAUUAUUGGGCUUAAAGGGUGCGUAGGCGGGCCCGCAAGUGUCCUGUGAAAUCCCACGGCUCAACCGUGGAACUGCUGGGCAUACUGCGGGCCUUGAGGUCGGCAGAGGUCGCCGGAACUCUAGGUGUAGCGGUGAAAUGCGUAGAUAUCUAGAGGAACGCCAAAGGCGAAGGCAGGUGGCUGGGCCGAUUCUGACGCUGAGGCACGAAAGCAUGGGUAGCGAACGGGAUUAGAAACCCCAGUAGUCC
This 274-nucleotide ribosomal RNA is filed under the name uncultured bacterium. RNAcentral's name for it is "partial 16S ribosomal RNA". It matches the Rfam family "Bacterial small subunit ribosomal RNA", at positions 523 to 796 of the family's 1533-position model. The record is from RNAcentral.